CAGGUGCAAUUAAGUUAGCCAAUCAAUAAACCUAACAAUCGAGAGAUUAUCCAGGUGGGCCUGACUUAAUCAUAUAAACUCUUUAAAUCUGGGUGUAGAGGUUAGCGACAGAGAAAUCAGAUACUAGAUGCAUCCUUUCUGACUUGAAGAUGAAGGCAAUUUUGUGACAAGUGAUGCUGGUGGCAUGUAAGACCUGUAAGCAGGCCCCAGCUGACAGUCCGUUAGAAAGGAAACAGGGGCUGCAGUUCUCCAACUGCAAAACACGGAAUUUUGCUUGAAAUUUAACUUGGAAGCAGACUUUCUCCCAGAGCUUCUAGAUGAAAACUCAGCCUGGCCAACCCCUUGGUGUCAGCUUUGUGUUACCCUGAGCAGGUACCCAAGACAUAUGGUUCUGGACUGCGGACCCACGGAAAGGCAUCCACAUCUACCACCCGUGACCAGACUUCUCCACCUGUUGGCGAGCUUAAGUUAAAGUUAUCAAUAUAUGCCCCAAAACAGCAAUCACCUGGAUGAGAAGCAGAUGACAUCUAAUGUAGACUGUGAAUCCCAAGACACAGACCAGUCCCUGGACGGCUGCUUUCUCUUACAAUGCCAAGACCCUGAUUACACUCUGGUGACAAGAGCUACUUUCAAUCCAAGGAAAGAAGAGGCUUUCUCACUAUUCACACGCGGAGGCACGUGGCAUUUCCUCUGAAACCCAUGAAGCAGACCUCUGCAGCAGUGUUUCCUCGUGCUACGAAAUGGGGCCAAUUCUGGCCAUUAUGUUCACCAGCUUUAUAUAUUCCCUUACUUAUACAAUAGUAGGAAAAUUAAAGUUAAUUCUUUUCAGUUUUGACGGUAUCUAAGAGGCCUUUAUUUGAUGUCAAUAAGUAUCCCAUUUAAAAAUGAGAAAACAAGAAUAUUCACUUACUAUGAAGUGGGUACAUGUAUAGGAGAGAGAAAAAUAGAAAAAUAGGAGACAAAAGAUGAUAUUGUGAGUCCUUAAUUUUAAAAUGAUAUAAUUUUGUUUUGAAUUAAAGUUUUUGAUAAAAUAUCAUUUAACCUGCUAUUGAAGGUACUUCCAAGUUGAUAAAACUAUUAAGAUAAAAAUGAAUUUCAUAUUUUAAGCAAAAUGUGAAAGUAGUACCCCACUUAUUAAAUACAUUGUUCAAACCUCAAUAGAACAGUAUUACAUCUCUAAUUUGUAUCUGCUUAUUAUAUAAUAAAUAUUGGAAAUCACAACCCUAAUCAUCGUAGAUAAAAAGAUACGCAACUUUUGAAUGGUGGAAAAUUUUAACGUUAAUUUAAAAAAAUUAGCCUGAGGUAAAAACAAUAAGAGAAUCCCAUGAAAUGCUUAAUGAAUCAUUUAUUUAAAUCUUCUCACCAUGAAUUUUUAUCUUUUCAGACCAAACGUUUAAUUUAAAAAAUCACAUUUUAAAUAGCUUUAUUGAGGUAUGAUUUGCAUACAAUAAAAUUCACUUGUUUCAUAUAUAUAAUUCAAUGACUUUUAAUAAACUUGGUGUUGUGCAACCAGCACUGCAGUUCAAUUUUAAAGAUCUUCAUCACUGAAAAAGAGCCUUUGUGCCUAUUUGCAGUUAUUUCCUGUCCCCACCUCAGCUACAGGCAACUAUUAACCUAUUUUACGCACCUAGAGAUUUGCCUUUUCAUAUAGAUGGAAUGAUCCAUUUUGUGGCUUUUUGUGUCAGGCUUUUCAUAAACAUAAUGUUUUUAAAGUUUGUCCAUGUUGUAGAAUGUGCUUGUUUCUCUUUAUUGCUGAAUGGUAUUUCGUUAUCUGGAUAGACCACAUUUGUUUAUUCAUUGAGUAGAUGGACAUUUGAGUUAUUUCUAGUUUUUCGGGUUUUAUGAACAAUGCUGCUAAACAUCCUCAUAAAAAUAUUUGUGUGGACAUAUUUCCAUUUCCAUUAGAUGGAUCCUAAAGAUGGAAUUGCUAGAUUGUAUGGUAAAUUUAUGUAUAUCCUUUCAAGAAACUGUCAAACUCUUUUCCAAAGCGUCUACGUCAUUUUAUAUUCCCACCUACAAUGUAUGAAGCUCCAGGGCUGUCCCACUGUAGAAACAGCAUGGAGAACGACUCAAGUGUCGCAGCCAACUGACCCAAUUAACUCCCAGACAUGGCAAUGUGCUACCUUAGAUCACGCAGCACUGGUCAAUUCAUCAAGUGAUGGCAGCUCUAAGCAAGAUGAGCCAACAAAGUUCCAAGCUGAGCCUGGUCCACAUUAGAGUAUCAUGAGUGGAUAAAUGCAAACAAAUACCAUUGUCGCAUAAAAUCUUCCUUGUUGCAAACAUAGAAAGAAUAUUGGAUCAUAUGAAACUUUUGUUUUAUUAUAAGUAGAAGUUCUAUUCCUAAAUAACAUUUCUGCUUUUGAAUUAUUGGUGUUCUCUGGAAAUUUUUGGUAAUCACUACUAUUGCUAACUUAAAUAUGGAACAAGGGACAUGGAAAAGAGCAC
RNAcentral lists this long non-coding RNA (2445 nucleotides) under Equus caballus (horse). RNAcentral describes it as "lncRNA (ENSECAG00000056532.1)". The record is from RNAcentral. Lineage: Eukaryota; Metazoa; Chordata; Mammalia; Perissodactyla; Equidae.